Molecule: RNA transcript, 3898 nt
Organism: Gambusia affinis (western mosquitofish)
Lineage: Eukaryota; Metazoa; Chordata; Actinopteri; Cyprinodontiformes; Poeciliidae
Gene: sst1.2
Gene name: somatostatin 1, tandem duplicate 2
Exons: 4
Source: RefSeq, a predicted model, not a curated record
GUCCACUUGGUGUUCACAUUCAAACCAACCAGAGUUCACUUCAACCGAACCCAGACGAGCUUUGGAGGACCAGAGGUCAGAGGUCGAUUAGCGUUCAACCUCAGCAACUGGACCCGACUUUAUGGGCAAACAGACUGCAGUUCGUGUAAAGAGAGUAAACAGGGCUGGUGGAAAUGAAUCUUCAGUGUAAGAAGUUUUGGCUUGCAGCAUUCAGUCCUCCUGACCAGCAAGGGGCGACAGUGGAGAGGAAAAACUCCCCUUUAAGAGGAAGAAACCUGCAGCAGAACCAGAACCAGGAUGUUUAACAAUAACACCUUUUAUUUAUUUUUACUUCAAGGUCACCUUACAUUAUUCAACACAAAAGACGCAAAAUUGAAAUACAUGAUAAAAAGUAAAGUACAAAAUGACUAAAAGACCUUAAAAAAUGAGCCACUCACCGGAGGCAAUGAAGUAUGAAUGGAUGAAUGAAUGGAUGAAUGAAUGGAUGAAUGGAUGAAUGGUUUGAGAAAACCGAAGUGGUAGGAAAUGCAACAUGGCCGUUCAGGCUGCGAUUUGAAAACUACCGGAUCAGACAUGGUUCCACAUCUGGAAGUGGAACAGAUCUGAUGUUUUUGGGGUGAAAUCAUUGGAAUCGGAUUUCUGUGAUUCCAGGGGGAAGUCGGUGCAGAUCGCCUGUUGACGUAGCCUAAUGCUAGCUGAACGCGGAGCCAUUUCUGGUCAUUCUGAGCCGGUUUCACACUCGUCUGCCUCACCGUGCGCCGGACGUGGAGCGUCUUUACUGUCACACGAAGAUGAAACCAGUUUGAUUUCUGGACGCCCCUCCUCUGGGUAUCGCCCUGUUGACGCCACCAUAAACCAAACCCACCGGUUUUGAAACGUCCGAUCUGGACGGGAUGUUUCUGAUUUCUGACAUUCUGACAGAAAACCUCCUGCAGGUCGUUCCUCAGCUUCAUCUUCUGUUUUAUCGAGGAGAAUUUGAAACUUGCUGUCAGCGUUUCGUUCUGCUUCUCUUCACAGCAAAUUAAACUUAACGCUUUAUUAUUUGAAUAAUCUGCAUGUUGGAGUGACUCAGAGUCUGAAACAUCUUACGCAUCACAGUGAGGAGCGAUGAUGUCAUCACUCUCCCAUCAAGCCCCCAUGUCUGGGGGUGUGUGUGUGUGGGUGUGUGUGUGUGUGUUGAUGCCAGCGGGUCCCUAGUGACGGCAGCUCACUGCUAAUGUGUCGCCACGGCAACCACCUGCUGUUAAUGUGCUGUUUAUUAGCAGAGACGAUGAAGACGCUGAAGAUGGAAAUGUUUGACGACUUUACGAUCUCUGGCUGGAAUCUGUUCAUUCAUCGAUCAAUGAACAAUAAAAUCUGUUUUACUUUCAAACAAAAAGUUUUUUAAAAUCAGACUCAAUAAGGAGAAGAUUUAGAUCACAAAUCCGUUUCAAAUCAAACCUACAGAAAAGUUUAGCUUAGCGAGUUGUCAGCCGUAACAAAUCUAAAAAUCAUUUUCAUUUGGAAUAGAUGCAGUUGAACUGAGUUCAUUUUCUGAAUCGUUGCAGAACUGAAAGUCUGGCAGAUUUGCUGGUCCAGUUGCCGACCACGCAUAUGCUGGACAUGAACCGUUUAGAUUUUAACCAACAUCAAGCGUCUGUCAUUCGGACAGAAAUGAUCUGAGUGGAUAUUCUUUGAACCACAUGAUGUGAUCUAUGAAGAGCUGGUAACUGCUCAUAAAGUUUUCACAAGGAAAAUCUGAAAAGUGUGGCAUGCAUCAGCAGGAAACCUGUCUGAGUCGGAACGCUGCAGGUUUGUUGAACAUCUCCAAACUUUGUAAAACGGCUCAACCUCAGACUGGAUGGAUGGUUUUCAGGUUUUACCACAGAGUUCGGUUGGAUUAAGACCCGGACUUUGACUAGGCCAUUCUAACCCAUGAAUCUGCUUUGAUCUAAACCAUCCGUUGUUUUCCUGUCAACUCAGACCAGCUUCCCUGAUCCUGCUGGAUAAACUUAUCCCCACAGCAUGAUGGUGCCACUACCUUUAUUUAAACAAAGGAGAGGGCGAUGCUAACUGUUAGCCGACAGAGAAAACCUGCUGCAUGAUGAACUGCAAGCAGGACUGAAGCUUUAACUCGAUAAUCAGCUGGUUUCUCAUGAAAAUCAAGAAAAAACUGAUGGAUUUCCUCCAACAAGUUUAUUCUUAUUUUGUUGCAGAAAAAUAAAGUUUCUUGGCAACAGUUACUUUAUUUAAUUUGAUUGACAACAUCUGGUGAGGGACGUUUAAGCAGUAGCCUAAAUAUUUAGCUCUGUAUUAAGCUGAUCUCCAAACUAAAUAUUUAAUUAGCUCUCGGUUUGGUACAUUUAAUGUUGCAAACUAAAUGUUUAUUUUGGAAUAACAUAUUUAGAUUAACACAACAUUUUUGCUUGAUAAACUUUAGGCUUCAGACUAAAUAUUUAACUGACUGACUUAAAAGUAACAUUUUAACAACUAUAGACAAAUGAAUGAAUGAAUGAAUGAAUGACAGUGUAAAUACAGUAUGACACUGUAAAAUGAUUUGCUUCCUGACUGAAUAAACUCCAUUAUUUCUGCUAACUGGUGGCGGCAGCUUUCCAGUCCAGGAUCCCAGUUCCAGUUGGAUCCCAGUUCCAGUUGGAUCCUGAACCAGUCCUCGUCUCGCCGCCUCACUCUGAGCCUCGUUCGUUGAACCUUUCAUUCCAUGUAAAGUCUGUUGUGUUUUGAAGUGUGUGGUUGAUGUGAAUGUGGUUGUUUGUCACGUCGGUGAGGCGGUGAGUCCUGAUCCGGCGGCGCUGCAGCAGGAAGUGUGGGAUUCCCUGAUGUCACUUCCAGCAGAAGUUUUGUGGCCUGGAAGCCUUUGAAGUGUGUGUGUGUGUGUGUGUGUGCGUGUGUGUGUGUGUGGGUGUGUGUGUGUGUGUGUGUGUGUGUGUGUGUGUGUGUGUGGAGUGGGCGGCUCUCCGCCGUGUUUAAUGGAGAUAUCAGUGAGUGCUAAUGAAGUCUGCUAAUCCUCUGAACGCUCCGUUAAUCCCCCCCACAUUCUGCCGUUGUCUUUGAGCGCCGCGGCGGCUGAUAGCUUUUCUGCUUUUAUUGUCUAAUUUAAGGAGGAUGAGGACUAAUGGACUUCUGUUUAACUUUAACUCGGCGUUCCUUCAUCGCCCUGCAGCUGCCAAUCAGCCGCACCGAGUCAUGUGACCCUCAGGGGGGGAGCAGGCCGCAUAAGAGCAGCAGCAGCAGAACCAGCAGCUCAGAACCAGAGCCAGCACCAGGACCAGCAGGAGAAACCCGACCAGAACCCAGUAUGCAUCACGCUCGCUGUCCCACCAUCUUGGUCCUCGCCGCGCUGGCCGCGCUCAGUCUGGGCGUUUCGUCUCAGGCUGACAGAGACCAGGACCCCUACCAGAACCAGAACCUGGACCUGGACCUGGAGCUGCGUCACCACCGGCUGCUGCAGCGAGCCCGCAGCGCCGGACUGCUCUCGCAGGACUGGUCCAAGCGGGCCGUGGAGGACCUGCUGGCCCAGAUGUCGAGGUCAGAGGUCGAGGCCCAGCAGGACGGUCCGGAGGCGGCUUCCAGAGGAACCGGCUCCAGACUGAACCUGGAGCGGUCCGUCGAAACCACCGCCCGCGAACGCAAAGCCGGCUGCAAGAACUUCUACUGGAAGGGCCUGACUUCCUGUUGAGGCAGGAAACAGGUAACUGACUUCCUGUUGAGGCAGGAAGCAGGUAACUGACUUCCUGUUGAGGCAGGAAGCAGGUAACUGACUUCCUGUUGAGGCAGGAAGCAGCUGAGGCCACACCCCUCUGGAACCAAACGACCAAUCACCUGCAGGAACAGCUGAACCGACCAAUCAGCAGUCUUGCCAGAGUAAUUAUUGUAAUUGUCCAAUAAAGAACGAACUCAA